GUGGCGAAUAUUGGGCAAUGGGCGAAAGCCUGACCCAGCAACGCCGCGUGAAGGAAGAAGGUCUUCGGAUCGUAAACUUCUAUCCUUGGUGAAGAUAAUGACGGUAGCCGAGAAGGAAGCCCCGGCUAACUACGUGCCAGCAGCCGCGGUAAUACGUAGGGGGCAAGCGUUGUCCGGAAUGAUUGGGCGUAAAGGGCGCGUAGGCGGCCUGGUAAGUCUGGAGUGAAAGUCCUGCUUUUAAGGUGGGAAUUGCUUUGGAUACUGUCGGGCUUGAGUGCAGGAGAGGUAAGUGGAAUUCCCGGUGUAGCGGUGAAAUGCGUAGAGAUCGGGAGGAACACCAGUGGCGAAGGCGACUUACUGGACUGUAACUGACGCUGAGGCGCGAAAGUGUGGGGAGCAAACAGGAUUAGAUACCCCGGUAGUCC
This 425-nucleotide ribosomal RNA is filed under the name uncultured bacterium. RNAcentral's name for it is "partial 16S ribosomal RNA". It matches the Rfam family "Bacterial small subunit ribosomal RNA", at positions 354 to 796 of the family's 1533-position model. The record is from RNAcentral.